UACGUAGGGUCCGAGCGUUGUCCGGAAUUACUGGGCGUAAAGAGCUCGUAGGUGGUUUGUCGCGUUGUUCGUGAAAACUCACAGCUCAACUGUGGGCGUGCGGGCGAUACGGGCAGACUAGAGUACUGCAGGGGAGACUGGAAUUCCUGGUGUAGCGGUGGAAUGCGCAGAUAUCAGGAGGAACACCGGUGGCGAAGGCGGGUCUCUGGGCAAUUCCUGACGCUGAGGCGCGAAAGCGUGGGGAGCGAACAGG
RNAcentral lists this ribosomal RNA (253 nucleotides) under uncultured bacterium. RNAcentral describes it as "partial 16S ribosomal RNA". It matches the Rfam family "Bacterial small subunit ribosomal RNA", at positions 524 to 776 of the family's 1533-position model. The record is from RNAcentral.